GAUGAACGCUGGCGGCGUGCCUAAUACAUGCAAGUCGAGCGAACGGACGAGAAGCUUGCUUCUCUGAUGUUAGCGGCGGACGGGUGAGUAACACGUGGAUAACCUACCUAUAAGACUGGGAUAACUUCGGGAAACCGUAGCUAAUACCGGAUAAUAUUUUGAACCGCAUGGUUCAAAAGUGAAAGACGGUCUUGCUGUUACUUAUAGAUGGAUUCGCGCUGCAUUAGCUAGUUGGUAAGGUAACGGCUUACCAAGGCAACGAUGCAUAGCCGACCUGAGAGGGUGAUCGGCCACACUGGAACUGAGACACGGUCCAGACUCCUACGGGAGGCAGCAGUAGGGAAUCUUCCGCAAUGGGCGAAAGCCUGACGGAGCAACGCCGCGUGAGUGAUGAAGGUCUUCGGAUCGUAAAACUCUGUUAUUAGGGAAGAACAGAUGUGUAAGUAACUGUGCACAUCUUGACGGUACCUAAUCAGAAAGCCACGGCUAACUACGUG
This 497-nucleotide ribosomal RNA is filed under the name uncultured bacterium. RNAcentral describes it as "partial 16S ribosomal RNA". It matches the Rfam family "Bacterial small subunit ribosomal RNA", at positions 28 to 507 of the family's 1533-position model. The record is from RNAcentral.